AGUGAACGCUGGCGGUAGGCCUAACACAUGCAAGUCGAACGGCAGCACAGUAAGAGCUUGCUCUUACGGGUGGCGAGUGGCGGACGGGUGAGGAAUACAUCGGAAUCUACUUUUUCGUGGGGGAUAACGUAGGGAAACUUACGCUAAUACCGCAUACGACCUACGGGUGAAAGCAGGGGAUCUUCGGACCUUGCGCGAUUGAAUGAGCCGAUGUCGGAUUAGCUAGUUGGCGGGGUAAAGGCCCACCAAGGCGACGAUCCGUAGCUGGUCUGAGAGGAUGAUCGGCCACACUGGAACUGAGACACGGUCCAGACUCCUACGGGAGGCAGCAGUGGGGAAUAUUGGACAAUGGGCGCAAGCCUGAUCCAGCCAUACCGCGUGGGUGAAGAAGGCCUUCGGGUUGUAAAGCCCUUUUGUUGGGAAAGAAAAGCAGCAGGUUAAUACCCCGCUGUUCUGACGGUACCCAAAGAAUAAGCACCGGCGAACUUCG
RNAcentral lists this ribosomal RNA (490 nucleotides) under uncultured bacterium. RNAcentral describes it as "partial 16S ribosomal RNA". It matches the Rfam family "Bacterial small subunit ribosomal RNA", at positions 29 to 505 of the family's 1533-position model. The record is from RNAcentral.